RNAcentral lists this ribosomal RNA (497 nucleotides) under uncultured bacterium. Its description in RNAcentral is "partial 16S ribosomal RNA". It matches the Rfam family "Bacterial small subunit ribosomal RNA", at positions 28 to 507 of the family's 1533-position model. The record is from RNAcentral.
GAUGAACGCUGGCGGCGUGCCUAAUACAUGCAAGUCGAGCGAACGGACGAGAAGCUUGCUUCUCUGAUGUUAGCGGCGGACGGGUGAGUAACACGUGGAUAACCUACCUAUAAGACUGGGAUAAUUUCGGGAAACCGGAGCUAAUACUGGAUAAUAUUUUGAACCGCAUGGUUCAAAAGUGAAAGACGGUCUUGCUGUCACUUAUAGAUGGAUCCGCGCUGCAUUAGUUAGUUGGUAAGGUAACGGCUUACCAAGGCAACGAUGCAUAGCCGACCUGAGAGGGUGAGCGGCCACACUGGAAGUGAGACACGGUCCAGACUCCGACGGGAGGCAGCAGUGGGGAAUCUUGGGCAAUGGGCGAAAGCCUGACGGAGCAACGCCGCGUGGGUGAUGAAGGUCUUCGGGUCGUAAAGCUCUGUUGUUGGGGAAGAACAGAUGUGUAAGUAACUGUGCACAUCUUGACGGUACCUAAUCAGAAAGCCACGGCUAACUACGUG